RNAcentral lists this ribosomal RNA (479 nucleotides) under uncultured bacterium. RNAcentral's name for it is "partial 16S ribosomal RNA". It matches the Rfam family "Bacterial small subunit ribosomal RNA", at positions 28 to 523 of the family's 1533-position model. The record is from RNAcentral.
GACGAACGCUGGCGGCGUGCUUAACACAUGCAAGUCGAGCGGAAGGCCCUUUCGGGGGUACUCGAGCGGCGAACGGGUGAGUAACACGUGAGUAAUCUGCCCCUGGCUUUGGGAUAGCCACCGGAAACGGUGAUUAAUACCGGAUACGACCACUUCUCGCAUGGGAUGGGGGUGGAACGUUUUUCGGCCAGGGAUGUGCUCGCGGCGUAUCAGCUUGAUGGUGAGGUAAUGGCUCACCAUGGCUUCGACGGGUAGCCGGCCUGAGAGGGUGACCGGUCACACUGGGACUGAGACACGGCCCAGACUCCUACGGGAGGCAGCAGUGGGGAAUAUUGGACAAUGGGCGGAAGCCUGAUCCAGCAACGCCGCGUGAGGGAUGACGGCCUUCGGGUUGUAAACCUCUUUCAGCAGGGACGAAGCGCAAGUGACGGUACCUGCAGAAGAAGCACCGGCCAACUACGUGCCAGCAGCCGCCGUAA